UUAAGCGACCAAGCGUACACGGUGGAUGCCCUGGCAGUCAGAGGCGAUGAAGGGCGUGCUAAUCUGCGAUAAGCGCCGGUAAGGUGAUAUGAACCGUUAUAACCGGCGAUACCCGAAUGGGGAAACCCAGUGUGAUUCGUCACACUAUCAUUAACUGAAUCCAUAGGUUAAUGAGGCGAACCGGGGGAACUGAAACAUCUAAGUACCCCGAGGAAAAGAAAUCAACCGAGAUUCCCCCAGUAGCGGCGAGCGAACGGGGAGGAGCCCAGAGCCUGAAUCAGCAUGUGUGUUAGUGGAAGCGUCUGGAAAGGCGCGCGAUACAGGGUGACAGCCCCGUACACAAAAGCGCACGUGCUGUGAGCUCGAUGAGUAGGGCGGGACACGUGGUAUCCUGUCUGAAUAUGGGGGGACCAUCCUCCAAGGCUAAAUACUCCUGACUGACCGAUAGUGAACCAGUACCGUGAGGGAAAGGCGAAAAGAACCCCGGCGAGGGGAGUGAAACAGAACCUGAAACCGUGUACGUACAAGCAGUGGGAGCCCCACCACUAAGCCAGUGGUGAGAACCCAUGACGCAUCCUUUGCUGAGGAUACGGUUAACGGAGCGAAAGCGACGUUCAACCGCAAAAGAAGCAGAGGGGGCUUAGUGGUGGGGUGACUGCGUACCUUUUGUAUAAUGGGUCAGCGACUUAUAUUCUGUAGCAAGGUUAACCGAAUAGGGGAGCCGGAGGGAAACCGAGUCUUAAUUGGGCGUUAAGUUGCAGGGUAUAGACCCGAAACCCGGUGAUCUAGCCAUGGGCAGGUUGAAGGUUGGGUAACACUAACUGGAGGACCGAACCGACUAAUGUUGAAAAAUUAGCGGAUGACCUGUGGCUGGGGUGAAAGGCCAAUCAAACCGGGAGAUAGCUGGUUCUCCCCGAAAGCUAUUUAGGUAGCGCCUCGUGAAUUCAUCUCCGGGGUAGAGCACUGUUUCGGCUAGGGGGCCAUCCCGGCUUACCAACCCGAUGCAAACUGCGAAUACCGGAGAAUGUUAUCACGGGAGACACACGGCGGGUGCUAACGUCCGUCGUGAAGAGGGAAACAACCCAGACCGCCAGCUAAGGUCCCAAAGUCAUGGUUAAGUGGGAAACGAUGUGGGAAGGCCCAGACAGCCAGGAUGUUGGCUUAGAAGCAGCCAUCAUUUAAAGAAAGCGUAAUAGCUCACUGGUCGAGUCGGCCUGCGCGGAAGAUGUAACGGGGCUAAACCAUGCACCGAAGCUGCGGCAGCGACACUUAAGUGUUGUUGGGUAGGGGAGCGUUCUGUAAGCCUGUGAAGGUGGCCUGUGAGGGUUGCUGGAGGUAUCAGAAGUGCGAAUGCUGACAUAAGUAACGAUAAAGCGGGUGAAAAGCCCGCUCGCCGGAAGACCAAGGGUUCCUGUCCAACGUUAAUCGGGGCAGGGUGAGUCGACCCCUAAGGCGAGGCCGAAAGGCGUAGUCGAUGGGAAACGGGUUAAUAUUCCCGUACUUGGUGUUACUGCGAAGGGGGGACGGAGAAGGCUAUGUUGGCCGGGCGACGGUUGUCCCGGUUUAAGCGUGUAGGCUGGUUUUCCAGGCAAAUCCGGAAAAUCAAGGCUGAGGCGUGACGACGAGGCACCACGGUGCUGAAGCAACAAAUGCCCUGCUUCCAGGAAAAGCCUCUAAGCAUCAGGUAACACGAAAUCGUACCCCAAACCGACACAGGUGGUCAGGUAGAGAAUACCAAGGCGCUUGAGAGAACUCGGGUGAAGGAACUAGGCAAAAUGGUGCCGUAACUUCGGGAGAAGGCACGCUGACACGUAGGUGAAGUGAUUUACUCAUGGAGCUGAAGUCAGUCGAAGAUACCAGCUGGCUGCAACUGUUUAUUAAAAACACAGCACUGUGCAAACACGAAAGUGGACGUAUACGGUGUGACGCCUGCCCGGUGCCGGAAGGUUAAUUGAUGGGGUUAUCCUCGCGGAGAAGCUCCUGAUCGAAGCCCCGGUAAACGGCGGCCGUAACUAUAACGGUCCUAAGGUAGCGAAAUUCCUUGUCGGGUAAGUUCCGACCUGCACGAAUGGCGUAAUGAUGGCCAGGCUGUCUCCACCCGAGACUCAGUGAAAUUGAACUCGCUGUGAAGAUGCAGUGUACCCGCGGCAAGACGGAAAGACCCCGUGAACCUUUACUAUAGCUUGACACUGAACAUUGAGCCUUGAUGUGUAGGAUAGGUGGGAGGCUUUGAAGCGUGGACGCCAGUCUGCGUGGAGCCAACCUUGAAAUACCACCCUUUAAUGUUUGAUGUUCUAACGUGGACCCGUUACCCGGGUUGCGGACAGUGUCUGGUGGGUAGUUUGACUGGGGCGGUCUCCUCCCAAAGAGUAACGGAGGAGCACGAAGGUUGGCUAAUCCUGGUCGGACAUCAGGAGGUUAGUGCAAUGGCAUAAGCCAGCUUGACUGCGAGCGUGACGGCGCGAGCAGGUGCGAAAGCAGGUCAUAGUGAUCCGGUGGUUCUGAAUGGAAGGGCCAUCGCUCAACGGAUAAAAGGUACUCCGGGGAUAACAGGCUGAUACCGCCCAAGAGUUCAUAUCGACGGCGGUGUUUGGCACCUCGAUGUCGGCUCAUCACAUCCUGGGGCUGAAGUAGGUCCCAAGGGUAUGGCUGUUCGCCAUUUAAAGUGGUACGCGAGCUGGGUUUAGAACGUCGUGAGACAGUUCGGUCCCUAUCUGCCGUGGGCGCUGGAGAACUGAGGGGGGCUGCUCCUAGUACGAGAGGACCGGAGUGGACGCAUCACUGGUGUUCGGGUUGUCAUGCCAAUGGCACUGCCCGGUAGCUAAAUGCGGAAGAGAUAAGUGCUGAAAGCAUCUAAGCACGAAACUUGCCCCGAGAUGAGUUCUCCCUGAGACCUUGAGUCUCCUGAAGGAACGUUGAAGACGACGACGUUGAUAGGCCGGGUGUGUAAGCGCAGCGAUGCGUUGAGCUAACCGGUACUAAUGAACCGUGAGGCUUAACCUU
This 3003-nucleotide ribosomal RNA is filed under the name Salmonella enterica subsp. indica. RNAcentral describes it as "bacterial LSU rRNA". It matches the Rfam family "Bacterial large subunit ribosomal RNA". Lineage: Bacteria; Pseudomonadati; Pseudomonadota; Gammaproteobacteria; Enterobacterales; Enterobacteriaceae. The record is from RNAcentral.